This 577-nucleotide ribosomal RNA is filed under the name uncultured Edaphobacter sp. RNAcentral describes it as "partial 16S ribosomal RNA". It matches the Rfam family "Bacterial small subunit ribosomal RNA", at positions 334 to 916 of the family's 1533-position model. Lineage: Bacteria; Pseudomonadati; Acidobacteriota; Terriglobia; Terriglobales; Acidobacteriaceae. The record is from RNAcentral.
UACUCCUACGGGAGGCAGCAGUGGGGAAUCUUGCGCAAUGGGCGAAAGCCUGACGCAGCAACGCCGCGUGGGGGAUGAAGCUUCUCGGAGUGUAAACCCCUUUCGACCCGGACGAAUCCCCGCAAGGGGUUGACGGUACGGGUAGAAGAAGCCCCGGCUAACUACGUGCCAGCAGCCGCGGUAAAACGUAGGGGGCCAGCGUUGCUCGGAAUUACUGGGCGUAAAGGGUCCGUAGGCGGUGCGGCAAGUCGGAAGUGAAAUCUCUGGGCUUAACCCAGAGGCUGCUCCCGAAACUGCCGUGCUCGAGUGCGAGAGAGGCGAGUGGAAUUGCGGGUGUAGCGGUGAAAUGCGUAGAUAUCCGCAGGAACAUCCGAGGCGAAAGCGGCUCGCUGGAUCGCAACUGACGCUGAGGGACGRAARSYWRGGGRRSMAAMCAGGAUUAGAUACCCUGGUAGUCCUAGCCCUAAACGAUCAGGACUUGGGGUGGGCCCUGUACGGGGUUCGUCCCGGAGCUAACGCGUUAAGUCCUGCGCCUGGGGAGUACGGUCGKAAGGCCGAAACUCAAAUGAAUUGACGG